UACAGAGGUGGCAAGCGUUGUUCGGAAUUACUGGGCGUAAAGGGCGCGUAGGCGGCCUUCUAAGUCACACGUGAAAUCCCUCGGCUCAACCGGGGAACUGCGUGUGAUACUGGCGGGCUUGAAUUCGGGAGAGGGAUGUGGAAUUCCAGGUGUAGCGGUGAAAUGCGUAGAUAUUCGCAAGAACACCAGUGGCGAAGGCGGCUUACUGGUCCGGUUCUGACGCUGAGGCGCGAAAGCGUGGGGAGCAAACAGG
RNAcentral lists this ribosomal RNA (253 nucleotides) under uncultured bacterium. Its description in RNAcentral is "partial 16S ribosomal RNA". It matches the Rfam family "Bacterial small subunit ribosomal RNA", at positions 524 to 776 of the family's 1533-position model. The record is from RNAcentral.